GCGGGGGUUCCGUAGCUUGGUCAAUCCCUGAACGGCAUUCAACGGGGGGGACUUAAGAUCCCCUGGCCUAGCGCCUUCGCAGGUUCAAACCGGGCUUUCUUUAAAAAGAAAGCACGGGUGCAAAGAAACUCCGGCUUCCGCCAUGAUGCCGGCGAGAAUCCUGCCCCCCGCACCA
RNAcentral lists this transfer RNA (175 nucleotides) under Candidatus Aenigmatarchaeota archaeon. Its description in RNAcentral is "tRNA-Leu". Lineage: Archaea; Nanobdellati; Candidatus Aenigmatarchaeota. The record is from RNAcentral.